UACGAAGGGGGCUAGCGUUGCUCGGAAUCACUGGGCGUAAAGCGCACGUAGGCGGAUUGCUAAGUCAGGGGUGAAAUCCUGGAGCUCAACUCCAGAACUGCCCUUGAUACUGGCGGUCUCGAGUCCGGGAGAGGUGAGUGGAACUGCGAGUGUAGAGGUGAAAUUCGUAGAUAUUGGGAAGAACACCAGUGGCGAAGGCGGCCAACUGGUCCAGCACUGACGCUGAGGUGCGAAAGCGUGGGGAGCAAACAGG
RNAcentral lists this ribosomal RNA (253 nucleotides) under uncultured bacterium. RNAcentral describes it as "partial 16S ribosomal RNA". It matches the Rfam family "Bacterial small subunit ribosomal RNA", at positions 524 to 776 of the family's 1533-position model. The record is from RNAcentral.